This 456-nucleotide ribosomal RNA is filed under the name Enterobacter hormaechei. RNAcentral describes it as "bacterial SSU rRNA". It matches the Rfam family "Bacterial small subunit ribosomal RNA", at positions 30 to 472 of the family's 1533-position model. The record is from RNAcentral. Lineage: Bacteria; Pseudomonadati; Pseudomonadota; Gammaproteobacteria; Enterobacterales; Enterobacteriaceae.
AUUGAACGCUGGCGGCAGGCCUAACACAUGCAAGUCGAACGGUAACAGGAAGCAGCUUGCUGCUUCGCUGACGAGUGGCGGACGGGUGAGUAAUGUCUGGGAAACUGCCUGAUGGAGGGGGAUAACUACUGGAAACGGUAGCUAAUACCGCAUAACGUCGCAAGACCAAAGAGGGGGACCUUCGGGCCUCUUGCCAUCGGAUGUGCCCAGAUGGGAUUAGCUAGUAGGUGGGGUAACGGCUCACCUAGGCGACGAUCCCUAGCUGGUCUGAGAGGAUGACCAGCCACACUGGAACUGAGACACGGUCCAGACUCCUACGGGAGGCAGCAGUGGGGAAUAUUGCACAAUGGGCGCAAGCCUGAUGCAGCCAUGCCGCGUGUAUGAAGAAGGCCUUCGGGUUGUAAAGUACUUUGCAGCGGGGAGGAAGGCGAUAAGGUUAAUAACCUUGUCGAUUGA